CACUGUUUACGCAUUUAAUUUGGUCAAUCAAGAAGAACUUGUCCAGCUGCACAUGGUGUCAUGGACUGUCCUUCAGACAUGUUUGGUCUUUGGACACUAUUUGUCUGACGGCAGCUCGUUUGUGGGAAAGAGAAACCUGGAAGGAGCAGAAAGUUGAAGAAACCUGUUUUUAUGACGGGCGGCGCUGAUGAACCUGGGCUUAAAACUUCAGAGUGCUCCAGACCCAAACAAGCUGAUCCGGGAUUUCUGGGAGGAAAAUAUUUGGUUUGUCUUCUCACUCUUAAAGGAAUCCAUUAAAAUUUACCUCCAGAGCUGCUCUGUCCUGCAUACUUUAGUUUACAAGGUAGGAAACCAAAUGAAGUCUGGCCCAGUCCAAACCCGGGAGCCACCAGGUUCUCCACAGCGUUUCCUGAAGGAGGAAUGGACUUUGGUUGGAAAGUUCCUACAGACCCAGAAGUUUCUGUGGAAACCAGAACAAAGAAGAAGAUUACCAUAAGGUUCAGGAACAUCUGAGGAAACCUGGAGGGAAUAUUAGGGUCAUGUGACUCCUGGGCUUCUGAAGAGGCAGGUUUCAGCAGAGGUCAAAGGUGAGGCAGCCGGUGAGAGGAGCAGAGUGAGAGAAACUUCAUCCAAGUUAACAUCGAGAGCCUGUCAGGAUUUAUUAGGCUGGUCUGUGCCUGGCAGCUGAUGUUACCAGUGAAGUGUGACCUACCGCGGCCACCAGGGGGCCCCCAAGAGCAAUUUAUGUUUUGUUUUUGUCCAUAAU
This is a long non-coding RNA of Poecilia latipinna (sailfin molly), 766 nucleotides long. RefSeq lists it as uncharacterized. The transcript is spliced from 4 exons. Lineage: Eukaryota; Metazoa; Chordata; Actinopteri; Cyprinodontiformes; Poeciliidae. The record is from RefSeq and is a predicted model, not a curated record.